UAAUCUAUUAUUACCAUUACUGUCUCUAUCAAAUGUUCCAAGAAGGAUUAGCAUUUUUAGCUGGACCUGGAAAGAACAAGGAUUUUGAUGACUGAUGUCCUAGUCAGCUUGGGUGGCUGUAACAGAAAUCAUAGAUAUUAAACAACAGAUAUUUAUUUCUCACAGUGCUAAAGGUUGGAAGACUAAGAUCAAGGUGCCAGUAGAUUUUGGCUUACAGAUGGCUGCUUCUCAUGUGUCCUUACCUGACAUAAAGAGAAGAACUCUGUUCUUUCUUCCCCUUUUUAUAAGGGUGCUAAUCUCAUCCUGGGAGUCACUACCUUCAUGACCUGUUAUAGUUUGAACAGGAUUGGGUUCUCCCAAACUAAUGCAGAUAUUUAAGCCCCUAAGUCUCAUGUUAAUGGAUGAUGCAAAAGUCUUUUGUAAAGUCUUAGGGUAAGUAGAUUAAUGCAAAAAGUUGAGGAGUAGUGUGAAGGCUUGCUCUAAUUAUGGCAUUUGAGAGGUAGGUCUCCUAGGAGGUCUUCAGGUCAUUGGCAGUCUGCCCUGGGCAGGUAAUUCUCCGCAGAGGAUUGGCUAUAUGAGCCACGUUUGGCCUAGUCUUUCUCUCUGAUUCCCUGACUUUCCAUGUGAUCCUCCCUCUCUCCACAUCCCACCAUUCAUCGCCCUCAUCAGAUGCAGAUUGAUAGACUGGACUAUGAACUUGCAAAACUGUCAGCGGAGGUAGCGGCAAGAUGGCGGAAUAGGAAGGGAGCACACUGAUAGUCUGGGGAGAGAUAGUUUAAUAAAAGUGGAGAUACUGCAGGUUCAAGGAAGAAUAGGGGAGGAAACAGCAGAAGAAACUCUUCCGGAACGUGUGACUCACAGCGGACCUGCGUGGAGAGCGUGGGAGCCCACAGUUCGGGACACCAGUGGCAGACUCAACACACCAGCGCUGGAACGCGAGGGUAUCUAAUUUCAAGUUGGUGUCAUCAGCACUAUUGACAUAGCAAGAGAAAAACAGCUAACAUGGGGGAACACAAUCAUUAAUUUGUACAGGAAUGGGACAACUGAACAUGUGGAUUUCUAAGAGAAAAGUUUUUUAGGUGAUGAGCAGUAAAUAAUUGGCACAUGAUUCAAGACCUCACGAGCAUGUAAACAUGGUGUUUUCCUUAGCCCUAAGCCAACUCUUCUGCAGAACAAAAGCAUCACCAAAAAUGCUCCCAUAGGGGCCAGCGUCGUGACGUAGCAGGUAAGACACAACUUGCUUCACUGGCAUCCCGAUAUCGGAGUGCCCAUUUGAGUCCCCAUUGGUCUACCUCAGGUCAAGCUCCCUGGUAAUGUGGCUGGAACGGCAGUGGAAGAUGGCCCAAGUGAGUUCCUGGCUCCUGACCUCAGCCUGGCCAAGUUCUAGCCUUUGCAGCCAUCUGGGGAGCGAUCUAGCAAAUGAAAUAUUUCUCUCCCUCCCUCCCUCUCUGUCUCUGUCUCUAUCUCUAUCUCACUUUGCUUUUCAAAUAAAUAAAAUAAAUCUUUUUAAAAAUCAUCUCCAGCGAUGUACAGGUCAGAAUUCUAAUCCUAGCAGAGCUGCCUGAAAGAGGUUGAUGAGGAAGGAAGGAUGUUCCCAGGAACCUAAUCAUCAUGUCUCAGAGUCUAUCCUGGAGCCCUGUGGACAGACCUCCUGCUAAGCCAGGGCUCCAGGGAGCAGUGAAAGGCCAAGGCCAAGGCCAAGGCGAUGACGUCUCCUAGCCAGUUUGAAGCGGUUCCACUGUGUCUGUCAUUCUGCACAGUCAUAUUCAGGGAGGAGGCAGGCGGGUCGCACUCACAGAUCCUGAAGUUGAUUAAGACUUCAACAUAGCUUUUUGAGGGACACAUUUCAAUCCGCACCAGCUGGGCCCAAAGAUGAGUAAAUGUUUCUAAGCAGAAUGAAGCAUCUACUGAAGUCUGAUCUCUUCAUGCAAGAGAAGAGCCAGUUACUGAAGUCUGCAUAUAGACAACAAAAACAGUAGCUCACCAUGUAGUCAACCUAGAAUGUUUGGCUAAUGGGGUUUGUGUGGCCCAGAAGGAUGCUAUGCCUCUGGGGAUGCCCACAUCAUGUAUCAAGAGCCUGGAUUGAGCCCCAGCUCCUCUCUUCCCAUUCAGCUUCCUUCUGAUGUGUACCCUGGGAUGCAGCAGAUUAUGGUCCAAGCACGUGGGCCCCUGCCAUCCAUGGAGGAGACCCAGAUGGAGCUCCUGGCUUAGGCCUGGUCUAGUACCAGCUGUUGUGGGUACUUGGGGAAUGAACCAGCCAAUGAAAGAUUUCUCUAUCUCUCUGUCACUCUGUCUUUCAAAUAAAUAAAAGUAAAUCAAGUUAAAAAAUAAAAAAGAGCAUUCAGCAACUUCAAUGAGUAGAUUGUCUGCAAUGCAUGAGUUGGUGUAGGUCCUAGCCAUCAGCUGCAGCCCCAAAUAGUACCUGUAGCAGCCACUCUAUUUAAAAAAAGAUUUAUUUAUUUGAAAGGCAGAGUUACAGAGAGGCAGAGGCAGAGACACAGAGAGAGGUCUUCCAUCCUCUGGUUUACUCCCCAGACGGCUGCAGCAGCCACUAUCGAUCUGAAGCCAGCAGGAGCUUCUUUGGGGCCAAGGACUUGGGCCAUCUUUUACUGUUUUCCUAGGUCAUAGCAGAGAGCUAGAUCAGAAGUGGAGCAACUGGGACUAGAACUGGUGCUCAUAUGGGAUGGCAGCACUGCAGGCCACGGCUUUACCUGCUAUGCUACAGCGCCGGCCCCUUUCUUAUAUUUUUUUAAGUUUAUCUGAGAGACAGAGAGAAAGAGAGAGGGAGAUAUUUCCCACCCACUGGUUCACUCCCUGAAUGUCCUCCAUGGCCUGGGUUGGGCUGAGGCUUCAGCCAGGAGGUGGAACUCAAUCCAGAUCUCCCGUACUACAUUACUUGAACCAUCACUGUCAUCUCCCAAGGUGUGCAUUGGUGGGAAGCUGGGAUCAGGAUCCAGAGCUAGGAAUUAAACCUAGGUAUCCCUAUGCGGAACAUGCAUCUGUUAAAUGCUAGGCUAAAUGCCCACCCCUAGUGUGCACCUUAAAACUUAAUUUUUAUACAAAUUUCAAUAUGCAAGCAUUUAGUGUAUAUAUCUUUUAAAGUAUAAUGAGCAGCCGGCGCCACGGCUCACUAGGCUAAUCCUCCGCCUUGCGGCACCAGCACACCGGGUUCUAGUCCCGGUCGGGGCGCCAGAUUCUGUCCCGGUUGCCCCUCUUCCAGGCCAGCUCUCUGCUGUGGCCCAGGGAGUGCAGUGGAGGAUGGCCCAAGUACUUGGGCCCUGCACCCCAUGGGAGACCAGGAGAAGCACCUGGCUCCUGCCAUCGGAUCAGCGCGGUGCGCCGUCAGCAGCGCACCAGCCACGGCGGCCAUUGGAGGGUGAACCAACGGCAAAGGAAGACCUUUCUCUCUGUCUCUCUCUCUCACUGUCCACUCUGCCUGUCCAAAAAAAAAAAAAAGUGUUUCUAAAAACUGAAAGCAACUAUUAUUUAUAGAUAAACCACUUUAAAAUUGAAACCACACUGUGAUAUUCCAAAAGUCAAAAAAAAAAUUUAAGUAUAAUGAGCAGGAAAAAAUCAUUAAUUUUUUUCUCAAAUGAAGAAAAUCAGUAAACAAAGCAUUUAAUUUUGAAUCAUCACUGGUGAUGGUGACAUUAAUCUCAUGCUUUUUGAGUGAUAAAUCAGCCUUUUGAAAGAAUGAUUUCUAAUAGCUUAAGCUGUCUCACACACCGAUAUGUCUCUUAUUUUUCUAAGAGUUGGCCUCGGGACCUGUGCUGUGGCAUAGUAGGUUAAGGCCCUGCUUGUAGUGCUGGCAUCUCAUAUAGGCGGCUUCCAAUCCAGCUCCCUGCUAACAGCCUGGGAAAGCAACAGAAGAUGGUUCAAGUCCUUGGGCCCCUGCACCCAUGUGAAAGACCUGGAAGAAGCUCCUGGCUCCUGGCUUCGGAUCAGUUGCAGCCAUUUGGGGAGUGAACCAGCAGAUGGAAGACCUCUCUCUUGGUCUGUAACUCUGCCUCUCAAAUAAAUAAAUCUAUCUUUAAAAAACAAUAAUAAAAAAAUUGGCCUCUAUCCCCAAUACCUUCAAACACAUGCUAUAAACCUGAAUCUACAGAUGUCUUCACCAAUCACGGGCUAUGUCAAACGUCAACAGGAAUCUCACUGGGUUCUCCAAAUCUCACGUCAGAAUCCAGCCAGGAAUCAGGGCGGACUCCUUGGUUUUCAGGUUUGCUCUCCUUGGAACUCAGGGGAUACCAAGAGCCUUUGGAUCACAGGCUGUCCUCACCGGCCCACUAGAUGUCACCCUCAGCUAAAUUAAGAGAAAGUCCGCCUACGACGCCAGGCACUGAGGGACACCUGGUUAGUUCCAAAGAACCAAGCACGAGUCUGUGUUAUACAUGUGCAGCCUAGGGGGAAGGGGCAGCAAGACGCAGCCUGUCACAAGUUUGGUGGGAAGGGAGGCUUCCCAACAGUGAAAGAAUGCUGUGGAUAUAAUCUGAGGUUAUUGAGUUUGUGGUGAAAUCUGUCUGGAUAAAGAAGGGAGCAGGACAAGUAGUGAUCCUGGCGGGAGAAGGGCAAACCAGGGAAUGACAACAGCAGGGCAAACGGCCUGAGGCAGAGCGAGCCAGUGCGGAAGGUGAGGAAGCUGUGAAGCCAGGCCUCAUAGGGCCUUGUAGGGCUCUGUAAAGUGUGCAAACUUCAUCCCAGGUGAAAUGGGAAAACUCAAGUCCACGGUUUUCCCACGGAAAACCUCUCCGAAUGCACUUGACCAUAAUCAUGAAGGCACAGCAGACAAACCCAAAUAAAGGAACUUUCUAUAAAGUAAGUGACUUGUGUUUUCUUUUGUAAAUGUCAAUGUCCUCAAAGAGAGAAAAAAAAAAAAAGGCCUGGGAAAGCAUCCCAGAAAAGGAGACUGUAAAUGCCAUCGCGAUCCUGGGCUGGAGCAAGAACAAAGCUCUCGCACAGCUUGUAGAUGCCGUAGAAUGACACGGCUAACAUUAACUUUCCCGAAGUUGACAUUGUGCUGCGGCUGUGUAAGAGAAUAUAUUAUUUGUGGAAUUUCCACAAUGAAGUUUUAGAGAGUAAAGUGAUGUGGCUGAGGUUUCCAAACACCAAUAUGUGCUGGGAAAGCUGCAGCCUUCUCUCAGGGAGGUGGAGCACGUGUGAUGGGUGCAUUUGACUAGUUAUUUCUUUAUUUGAAAGGCAGCUACAGAGAGGCAGAGGCAGAGAGAGAGAGAGAGAGAGAGAGAGAGAGAGAAAUCUUCCAUCUGCUGGUUCACUACCCAGGUGGUCAAAACGGCUGGAGCUGGGCUGAUCUGAAGCCAGGGUCUUCAGGGUCUCCAGUGUGGGUACAGGGGCCCAAGGAUUUGGGCCAUCUUCUACUGCUUUUCCAGGCCACAGCAGAGAGCUGGAUCAGAAGUGGAGCAGCCUGGACUUGAACUGGUGCCCAUAUGGGAUGCCAGCACUGCAGGCAGUGGCUUUACCCGCUAUACCACACAGCAGCAGCCCUAAAUUGUUACAUUUCUUUUCAUGUUCUCACCUCACCCUCAAAGCAGCUUCUAUGUCCCUAAGAACCUUCAAAAGAAAGCCUGAAGUUCCUUGUGGGUGGGUUUAGAGAUCACUGUGCUCCCAGUAGAAGAUGGUCACCCUCUGGGGAAGUGAUAACCUUGCUGAAAUAAAUGAAGGGUCUCCAGUGUCUUCAGAACUCACAUUCCUAAGAGCAAUGGCUCUCAUGCAAGAAAACCACCUGAAACGUGUGAUUCUCGUGCCUAAAACACUGACUUGGACACAGCAGAAGAGGUGAAGCACUGGGUGAGCAGUGGGAGUGAAUGACAGUUGCUCAGAGUGCGCAAGUUCUCUCUUUGUUAAAUGUGAAUUGCCGACAACAUGGGAGAGAAAGCUGGCUUGGGCUGAAACAGCCGUUGGUCAACACGCAUCUUUAUGAGCACCUAUUACAGGCAAGAUCAUAUGCUAAGUGCAUAAGGAAUGCAAAGAUAAUUUAAACGCAACAUGUGCCUCGAUUUUGUACCUUCAUCCCAGAAGACCUGGGCUAGGUUCCAGGGAGCUCAAGAAAGAGCUCAAUUUAAUUCAUUUAAUUUAUUUUUUAUUUUAUUUUUAUUUUU
Non-coding RNA from Oryctolagus cuniculus (rabbit), 6113 nucleotides. The record is from RefSeq and is a predicted model, not a curated record. Lineage: Eukaryota; Metazoa; Chordata; Mammalia; Lagomorpha; Leporidae.